CCUACGGGAGGCUGCAGUAGGGAAUCUUCCGCAAUGGACGAAAGUCUGACGGAGCAACGCCGCGUGAGCGAAGAAGGUCUUCGGAUCGUAAAGCUCUGUUGUUAGGGAAGAACAAGUACGGGAGGAAAUGACCGUACCUUGACGGUACCUGACGAGGAAGCCACGGCUAACUACGUGCCAGCAGCCGCGGUAAUACGUAGGUGGCAAGCGUUGUCCGGAAUUAUUGGGCGUAAAGCGCGCGCAGGCGGUCUUUUAAGUCUGAUGUGAAAUCUUGCGGCUCAACCGCAAGCGGUCAUUGGAAACUGGGAAAGUAGAGGGAAGAAAGGGAAAGGGGAUUCCCACGGGGAGGGGUGAAAUGGGAAGAGAUGAGGGGGAACACCAGGGGCGAAGGCGGCUUUCUGGUCUGUAACUGACGCGGAGGCGCAAAAGGGUGGGGAGCAAACAGGAUUAGAUACCCCAGUAGUC
Molecule: ribosomal RNA, 465 nt
Filed under: uncultured bacterium
Lineage: Bacteria
Description: partial 16S ribosomal RNA
Rfam family: Bacterial small subunit ribosomal RNA
Source: RNAcentral